RNAcentral lists this long non-coding RNA (284 nucleotides) under Vigna radiata. Its description in RNAcentral is "long non-coding RNA (VRAD_LNC009767)". Lineage: Eukaryota; Viridiplantae; Streptophyta; Magnoliopsida; Fabales; Fabaceae. The record is from RNAcentral.
GACAAGGGAGGAGAAAAUAUGGAUGAGAAUCUAUAAACCAAAAGAAAUAGAGGAGCAAUGGGGAACAAGUGUAAACACAGUCAAAUAACACCCAAACCCUCUAAUUCAAUCCUCUUCUUGACGCCAUCUUUCACACAAUUUUUUUUUUCUCAUUUUUCUGUAUUUUUUUUCCUUUUUUUUUCUUUUUUUUUUUCUCAUCUUGUCUCUUUUCUUUUCUCUCUUUUCAGAACACAACUCUAAGAGACAAAAUACACAACAUAUUUACAAAACAAAACAAGAAGAGG